AAAGUUAUCUCGAAAAGCAGAGUAGUCGGGUGACGAUCCUUUACAGAGAGGCGGCAGAUGGUGAAAGCCGCCAGGAGAGUUCCGGUGAACAUGUGCUUGGAAUGAUAUGCCGCGGUGAUAUUUAGCCGCUACCGGGGUUGCUCUCGUUAAACAAGCAAGCUGUUUCUAUUUAUCAGAGACAGCUGGUGAGAUUUAUUACGCAAGUAAUGAAUGAACUAAAGGUGGUACCACGAGCGCUCGUCCUUUAU
Lactobacillus delbrueckii subsp. bulgaricus is the source of this 248-nucleotide non-coding RNA. NCBI's taxonomy places the organism in Bacteria, Bacillati, Bacillota, Bacilli, Lactobacillales, Lactobacillaceae. The record is from Rfam.